GGAGAAGUACCCAAGAGGUCGAAGGGGCUCCCCUGCUAAGGGAGUAGGAGGUGUGAAUCUCGCCCGGGUUCAAAUCCCGGCUUCUCCGCCA
This 91-nucleotide transfer RNA is filed under the name Clostridiales bacterium. Its description in RNAcentral is "tRNA-Ser". It matches the Rfam family "tRNA". Rfam says of the family: Transfer RNA (tRNA) molecules are approximately 80 nucleotides in length. Lineage: Bacteria; Bacillati; Bacillota; Clostridia; Eubacteriales. The record is from RNAcentral.